RNAcentral lists this ribosomal RNA (944 nucleotides) under uncultured Burkholderiales bacterium. Its description in RNAcentral is "bacterial SSU rRNA". It matches the Rfam family "Bacterial small subunit ribosomal RNA", at positions 54 to 993 of the family's 1533-position model. The record is from RNAcentral. Lineage: Bacteria; Pseudomonadati; Pseudomonadota; Betaproteobacteria; Burkholderiales.
CAUGCAGUCGAACGGCAGCACGGAGCUUGCUCUGGUGGCGAGUGGCGAACGGGUGAGUAAUAUAUCGGAACGUACCCUGGAGUGGGGGAUAACGUAGCGAAAGUUACGCUAAUACCGCAUACGAUCUACGGAUGAAAGUGGGGGAUCGCAAGACCUCAUGCUCGUGGAGCGGCCGAUAUCUGAUUAGCUAGUUGGUAGGGUAAAAGCCUACCAAGGCAUCGAUCAGUAGCUGGUCUGAGAGGACGACCAGCCACACUGGAACUGAGACACGGUCCAGACUCCUACGGGAGGCAGCAGUGGGGAAUUUUGGACAAUGGGCGAAAGCCUGAUCCAGCAAUGCCGCGUGAGUGAAGAAGGCCUUCGGGUUGUAAAGCUCUUUUGUCAGGGAAGAAACGGUGAGGGCUAAUAUCCCUUGCUAAUGACGGUACCUGAAGAAUAAGCACCGGCUAACUACGUGCCAGCAGCCGCGGUAAUACGUAGGGUGCAAGCGUUAAUCGGAAUUACUGGGCGUAAAGCGUGCGCAGGCGGUUUUGUAAGUCUGAUGUGAAAUCCCCGGGCUCAACCUGGGAAUUGCAUUGGAGACUGCAAGGCUAGAAUCUGGCAGAGGGGGGUAGAAUUCCACGUGUAGCAGUGAAAUGCGUAGAUAUGUGGAGGAACACCGAUGGCGAGGGCAGCCCCCUGGGGUCAAGAUUGACGCUCAUGCACGAAAAGCGUGGGGAGCAAACAGGAUUAGAUACCCCUGGGUAGUCCACGCCCUAAACGAUGUCUACUAGUUGUCGGGUCUUAAUUGACUUGGUAACGCAGCUAACGCGUGAAGUAGACCGCCUGGGGAGUACAGUCGCAAGAUUAAAACUCAAAGGAAUUGACGGGGACCCGCACAAGCGGUGGAUGAUGUGGAUUAAUUCGAUGCACGCGAAAACCUUACCUACCCUUGACAUGGCUGG